AGGAUUAACGCUGGCGGCGUGCCUAACACAUGCAAGUCGAACGAGGUAGCAAUACCUAGUGGCAGACGGGUGAGUAGCGCGUGGUCAACCUACCGUUGAGUGGGGGAUAACUAGCCGAAAGGUUAGCUAAUACCGCAUACGUCUCCGAGGGGCAUCCCUUGGUGAUAAAAGGAGCAAUCCGCUCGAUGACGGGACCGCGUCCCAUUAGCUAGUUGGUGGGGUAACGGCCUACCAAGGCAUCGAUGGGUAGCUGGUUUGAGAGAGCGACCAGCCACACUGGGACUGAGAUACGGCCCAGACUCCUACGGGAGGCAGCAGUGAGGAAUUUUCCGCAAUGGGCGAAAGCCUGACGGAGCGACGCCGCGUGUGGGAAGAAGGCCUUCGGGUCGUAACCACUGUCGAAGGGGAGAUAAUGACGGUACCUUGGAGGAAGCCCCGGCUAACGUACGCGCCAGCAGCCGC
This 462-nucleotide ribosomal RNA is filed under the name uncultured bacterium. Its description in RNAcentral is "SSU rRNA". It matches the Rfam family "Bacterial small subunit ribosomal RNA", at positions 26 to 518 of the family's 1533-position model. The record is from RNAcentral.